UCUGUUUCUAGCAAGAUGAUACACCCAAGCCU
RNAcentral lists this non-coding RNA (32 nucleotides) under Mus musculus (house mouse). Lineage: Eukaryota; Metazoa; Chordata; Mammalia; Rodentia; Muridae. The record is from RNAcentral.